This 467-nucleotide ribosomal RNA is filed under the name uncultured bacterium. RNAcentral's name for it is "partial 16S ribosomal RNA". It matches the Rfam family "Bacterial small subunit ribosomal RNA", at positions 28 to 523 of the family's 1533-position model. The record is from RNAcentral.
GACGAACGCUGGCGGCGUGCUUAACACAUGCAAGUCGAGCGGGAAACUUCGGUUUCCAGCGGCGGACGGGUGAGUAACACGUGGGCAACCUGCCUCACAAUGAGGGAUAGCCUUCCGAAAGGAAGAUUAAUACCUCAUAACACAAGAGAAACGCAUGUUUCUUUUGCCAAAGAAUUUCGUUGUGAGAUGGGCCCGCGGCGCAUUAGCUUGUUGGUGAGGUAACGGCUCACCAAGGCUUCGAUGCGUAGCCGACCUGAGAGGGUGAUCGGCCACGUUGGAACUGAGACACGGUCCAGACUCCUACGGGAGGCAGCAGUGAGGAAUAUUGCACAAUGGAGGAAACUCUGAUGCAGCAACGCCGCGUGAGUGAUGAAGGUCUUCGGAUUGUAAAGCUCUGUCUUCUGGGACGAUAAUGACGGUACCAGAGGAGGAAGCCACGGCUAACUACGUGCCAGCAGCCGCGGUAA